UACGAAGGGGGCUAGCGUUGCUCGGAAUCACUGGGCGUAAAGGGCGCGUAGGCGGCGUUUAAGUCGGGGGGUGAAAGCCUGUGGCUCAACCACAGAAUGGCCCUCGAUACUGGGACGCUUGAGUAUGGUAGAGGUUGGUGGAACUGCGAGUGUAGAGGUGAAAAUUCGUAGAUAUUCGCAAGAACACCGGUGGCGAAGGCGGCCAACUGGACCAUUACUGACGCUGAGGCGCGAAAGCGUGGGGGAGCAAACAGG
This 255-nucleotide ribosomal RNA is filed under the name uncultured bacterium. RNAcentral describes it as "partial 16S ribosomal RNA". It matches the Rfam family "Bacterial small subunit ribosomal RNA", at positions 524 to 776 of the family's 1533-position model. The record is from RNAcentral.